AGUUUGCAAAUGACCAGUGCUAUAUGGAUCCAAUUGUGUGUUCAUGUUUGUGUUGUGUUCUCAUGCCAUUGAAACAGUUUUAAAUAUUUUAUGCAUGACCCCCUGCAACUAUUGGGGGAAUAAAAGUGUACUGUUGUGUUUUUCUUUAUGCACCUGCCAUAGCGGAGGGGCAUUAAGUUUAACACUUGUCCUUCUGUCCGUCCGUCGUACCGUCCAAAAUUGAUUUCUGGUCUCUAACUUAAGUUUGCUUCAACCAAAUGUUAGAAGAUUUAUACACGAUGCUGAUUACCAAAAAAAAAAACAA
This 304-nucleotide long non-coding RNA is filed under the name Mytilus galloprovincialis (Mediterranean mussel). The record is from RNAcentral. Lineage: Eukaryota; Metazoa; Mollusca; Bivalvia; Mytilida; Mytilidae.